RNAcentral lists this long non-coding RNA (1186 nucleotides) under Homo sapiens (human). RNAcentral's name for it is "non-protein coding lnc-LEF1-4:1". Lineage: Eukaryota; Metazoa; Chordata; Mammalia; Primates; Hominidae. The record is from RNAcentral.
CAGGCGCUGAAGAAGCACCGUGAGAAUAUACGACGUGGGGUUCAGUCUAGCCUGGUGGGUCAGCGCUUUCCUGAGAAAUUAAUGUCUGAGCUCAGAACUGAAGGACAAGCAGUAGCAGCCAGAUUUGGGGAGUGGGGCUGGAGAAGAGGAUUCCAGGCAGAGGAAACAGCCUGUACAAAGGCCCUGAGUACUUGUAUUCUCCUACCCUCCUUUCCCUGUCCCUUUAUGAAGAAGAGAACCUCUUCAUGCCCCACUGUCCAUUACAAAACAUUAAAGAUGAUUUCAUUUGUGGCCAAGUAAAAGCUCUCUGCAAGUCCCAUCAGAAGCCUGGCCAGGAAAGCAGACUCCAGAAGUGACUUCAGGAUCUUUCUCUAGGAAGCCACUACACUCAAGAGGAAACUGAUUUGCCACAGCUGUAUUUCCUUAGGGUCUGGCACUUGCGUCAUUCUGGUUUUCUUCUCCUGAAGAACUAGAGUACUACCAUGGGCCUUGCUGCCUGCCAAGUGAACUUUCUGAUGCUGAGCACAGCCUGCACACCUGGGAUCACUGGAGAAGACAGACUGCCCUCCCUGCCUCCCUGCCUCCCUGAAGGAGGGAUUUAGUAGAGGUCAUUGGGUUAAAGCCAUAAGAACACAUACAUCUCACUUAGAUUUCAAGGACACAGUAUAAAAAGAAUAAAAAGAAGUGUUAACUUCUUAAAGCCAUGAAAGGAAUUUCAGGAAGACUGUAAGCAGCAAUUGAGGGCCAGCACAGGGAAAGGAAACUGGAAAGUGAAGGAGACCAGACGGUGGUGGAACAGAUCGAGACCGUGGAUGGAUGAGGGAUGAGGAAAUAAUUAUACAAUCCAUCACACUUCUCUUAUUGUUGCCAGAAGCUCAGAGUGAAACUUAUGAUAUAAAAAUAGUAACUAUAUUGGCUUUCAUCACUAGACUAUCUGCUCUCACCUCCCUUUAGAGGGUUUAGGGUUUUUGUUUUGUUUUGUUUGAACAAUAUGAGGUGUAUCUAAAUAUAUACAUAUUGCAUAUGUAUUAAUUUCUACAUUUUCCAUUUACAAUAAUAAUGGAUCUGUCCUAGCCUUGCUAAAAGCCCAUGUGACCUCAGACUUCUAUAUGGAAGGAGCGAUUUUAAAAAGUAGCACGAAAUAAAAAGCCAGAAAUCUUCUGUUGAUCUUCUUCUCUCGGUAUAG